This is a long non-coding RNA of Dendrobium catenatum, 2687 nucleotides long. RefSeq lists it as uncharacterized. The record is from RefSeq and is a predicted model, not a curated record. The transcript has 3 exons. NCBI's taxonomy places the organism in Eukaryota, Viridiplantae, Streptophyta, Magnoliopsida, Asparagales, Orchidaceae.
UUGUUUCCUUGCUUAAUUGAACUGGUGCUACAGAACUGCCCGAAGUUGAAAGAGUUGCCCUCUAUGUCUUCUAAGCUCGAGAGAUUGGUGAUAUAUAAAACUGGGUGGACGACUAUGAAUUUUGGUAGCAAUGCAAAUCCUAUUCCCCUUGAAAGAUUAGAGGUCUAUAACUGUCAAAACAUCGCAUCUCUUUAUCUAGCUGUUGAAACAGCAAGGCUUGCAGCACUAAGAUACUUGAAAAUUAAAAAUUGCCCGAAUCUGUUUUCUUUGGGAAGAUAUCGAAAAGUGGAGACUACUAAUAAUUGCCAUCUCAUGCUCAGCGAUGUCUUUAUAAGUGAUCCAUCAGUGUUGCUAAUGGAGCCAUUGAGAAGUAUCGCCUCCUUAAAAAAGCUGAAUAUUUGGUCAAAUGAUGAGUUGGUUUUCUUUUACAAAUGAGUCGGAGCAGUGAUUUCUGAAAGCUAGGUCUUCUCUUUCUGAGCUGAAUUUUUUAUUUCUCAAUUCCUUACAAUCUCUACCUUCCUUCUUGGAAAGCUUAUCUUCACUUCAGAUUAUAUAUAUUUAUGUUGUUCCCAUGCUUCGGGAAUUACCCAACCUUCCUCCCUCUUCGGGAAACUACGAUGCUGCUCCUGGUUUGCGCUAUAUAGAAGAUGAAGAAAAGUGCUAACCGCAGCUGAAACUUUAUUUAUUUGCAACCAAGAUUGAUUGAUUCCGCACCUAACAAUUUCUCUGAAAAAAAGAUGGGUUAACUUGCAGAAACCACUGCUCUAACUCAUUUGAAAAUGAAACUAACAUUAAUUUGCAGCGUUUGGAGUUGGGAAGAUUUCAAGCACAUUGUAGAUCUCAACUUUUGGAUGAGAAGGUGCUUGAGAAUUUUAUACCACAUGAAAAUCUAAAGAAACUGAGGAGAAAUGCUUACAUGGGUGCCAGGUCUUCAAUAUUCGCCUUGUUGUAGCCCUUUUUGAGAUCCUGUACUAUAUCAAGCAUUUCUUGAGAGCAUGGAUUAUCUGCGUUCUUACCUUCUUAGCCUUUCUUCUUUCUACCAACUUCACAUUCAUAUGGGUUUCAUUUACUCAAGUUUUGGAUUGAGGCUGCUAGAUUUUUUUUCUUCCUAUGAGACUUAUUAUUACUCAAAUGUUUGAUCAAAUAAGUCUGUCCUUUGGGUGGGAAAGAAUGAAAGGAAAAUUUCUCGUCCCUUUAUGCUGUUUUUAUAUAUUUAGGAAUUAAUGGAAUGGCAGGAAAUAUGGCCAUCACAUCUCCUCUACUUCGUCCAUUUUAAACAGGAAGCGUUCUCUAUGUUCAUCUGAAAUGUUCCUUUUUUCAGAUCGGUGGCUGCCUCCUUAUUGAGAAAUUUGUUUUGUUUGUUUGUUUUUUAUUUUUCUCGAGAGGGCUAUGAUUAGUUAUAUGGCCCUAGGGGUUCUCCUGGAUUGGCCUCUGGAUGGCCUCUCUUCUGUUGUGUUUUUUUACAUACAUGAAUUAUAGGCCUUGAGGGGCUGUUUUGCAACAAGCUUGAUUUAAUUACGGCUUCGGUUCCGGUGGCUUUCUUAAUGUUUUCUAAAGAAGUUUAGGGUUUAGGAAUCUUUGUGUAUUGUUUCUACAAUUUCUUGAGAACCUGGAUUGCAUGGCUUCUUGCCUUCCUAGCCUCUUCUCUCCAAAAACUUUACAUUUAUAGGAUUCCUCAGCUCAAGGAAUUACCAGACCUCCCUCCCUACUUGAAAUCUCUGUCAAUACUCUACUGCCAUUCCGACUUGAAGGAGCGCUACCGAAGGUUCUGAUUGGCACAAGAUAGCUCACAUUCCUUAUGCAAUCUUCCUACCGAGUAGGACCACUUGCUUUAAUGAAAUUUUCUAAUCUAAUGCCGGUUUACGAAGUGUGGGAAUUGAAAAAAAAAAUACACCAGAAGUGAACGUUACAUUUGUUUUAUUUGCUUGAUAAAAAUGUGAAGUUUCAGCCAGAGCUGUGGUUGGUAGAGGAAACAAAACAUGGUGAUGAUCCAAGCAUCAACAUCGUGCUGAAGAUUAAUGACCAACAUGCAAUACUUAGGCAGGAAAGAGAUGAUGGGAAAUAAUGAAUACAGAUCGAGGUGCCUUCAAUGCCGUUAAAAGUUAAAAUAUUGAUGAUUCCCCUCCAACGGUGUCGAUUAUGGAGCAUAAAGAACAACUGAACAGAAACAUGGAGAAAAGAUCUGCAGGCUUUGUCCAGCGGGCUUUCACUGGUCAACAAUGCCAGAUUUAAUGGUUACACUUGAAAACACCAUGGUGCUACUGAAAUACUAAACAAGUGGAAAUCAAUAUUACUUAGUUGUUCGCAUGGAAUUGGCUAACAUUUGCAACUAUCAACAGCUUGCCGAUCAAGAAGAUGGGAAUUAUUGAGUUAUAGAGUUUAAUUAAUGUCCUAUGAAGAAACAUAGAGCGGAGAUUAUUACGUGCGGAGCCCGGACGGAAGAACCGCCCAGAUCCUGAGAGUGAGUAUGCGAUACAAUUACUGUGCACAUCAUGGUUUUAUUGGCACUCAUAGAAUCCAGAUGCAACUCCGGUCCGGACUCCGUAUAUCAUAAUCCCUCUAUGUGGAUUGAAACUCAUGGAAGGUAUAUAAUAUUCAUUAUUUGUUUCAUUGUAGAGAUUUUGGAGAGUUCACCUGUAAUUUCAGUUACUCAAAAUUUUCAUUAUAAAAGGGGUUUUGUUAUUACA